Molecule: ribosomal RNA, 478 nt
Filed under: uncultured bacterium
Lineage: Bacteria
Description: partial 16S ribosomal RNA
Rfam family: Bacterial small subunit ribosomal RNA
Source: RNAcentral
GACGAACGCUGGCGGCGUGCUUAACACAUGCAAGUCGAACGGUAAGGCCCUUCGGGGUACACGAGUGGCGAACGGGUGAGUAACACGUGGGUGAUCUGCCCUGCACUUCGGGAUAAGCCUGGGAAACUGGGUCUAAUACCGGAUAGGACCACUGCCUGCAUGGGUGGUGGUGGAAAGCUUUUGCGGUGUGGGAUGGGCCCGCGGCCUAUCAGCUUGUUGGUGGGGUGAUGGCCUACCAAGGCGACGACGGGUAGCCGGCCUGAGAGGGUGACCGGCCACACUGGGACGGAGAUACGGCCCAGACUCCGACGGGAGGCAGCAGGGGGGAAUAUUGCACAAUGGGCGCAAGCCUGAUGCAGCGACGCCGCGUGAGGGAUGACGGCCUUCGGGUUGUAAACCUCUUUCAGCACCGACGAAGCGCAAGUGACGGUAGGUGCAGAAGAAGGACCGGCCAACUACGUGCCAGCCGCCGCCGUAA